Long non-coding RNA from Cynocephalus volans (Philippine flying lemur), 1525 nucleotides. RefSeq lists it as uncharacterized. The transcript has 4 exons. The record is from RefSeq and is a predicted model, not a curated record. NCBI's taxonomy places the organism in Eukaryota, Metazoa, Chordata, Mammalia, Dermoptera, Cynocephalidae.
CAACGCCCAGACCUCCAGAAAUCACGUGUGCAGCCUGAAUUGCCAUAGACAAGUGCAACUGUAAAACAGUUUCCAGCCUCUUUUCCCCAUAUUGUCACACUAUGGGUUCUGACUUCUGGCUGCUUUGGCACCAGAGGCCACUAAUUCCUGUUUGCAGUUUUCUCACGGCAACAACGGUCUUUCUGCCUUGACUUUCUUGUAUUUCCUUCUUGCUAACAAAGAUUGUUUGACCAUCUAUGCACUGAGCUACAGGUGCUCCUGAUGAAACCGCUAAAGGAGUUGGAUGUGACUGACGUCUUUGGGAAAGACAAGAGUUAGCAUGCCCAUGCAGUUGUGUCCAAAUGCUGCUCUUAUCUCCCAAUGGAAAGGUGGGUCUGAAGAUUCUACAGUGCCUCAGGACGCAUGCAGUCUCUUAACCAGCGAAGUUCCAGAACCAAGGAGGCCCAGCAUAAGUCCUGAGAAUUACUUCUAAGAGUAAAAGGCUCUUUGCUGUCCUCCUCAGAAUGGAUCAUAGUCCCUAAUGACAAGUGAUUGGAGGCCAGUUUCAAUCCACUGAAGCAUGGGUUCCAAGUUUUCAAUCUGGUUUUCUUGAGUACUGACUGAGUGCCAAGAAUGAGGCAAUGACACAACAUCACCACCAGGACACCCCCCCCACCCCCAUCCCACCCCCUACACAGAUACAUGCCAGAGUUUGGGGCAUAACUGGUGACUUGUAAGCUUCUCCUCAAAAUAUUUACUCUCAAUAUCAUGGUUUUUUAUUUCAGAUGGAUUCAUUCUCUCUAUCCCUAGCCAAUUCUCAUAACAUUUCUCUCUAAUAUCUAAUACACUGUCAGUGUAUUCCAGACCCUAAGAAAUAUCAUAAUGGAACUAUCUAUUGACUAAAGAUAGUAUCUUCUACCUUUUCUUUCUUUCUUCCUAUCAAAACUUUAAUUUUGAAAUCUUUGAGAGCGAAGCAGUGACUACAAAUGUAAAGUAAUUAUUAAAGAAACAAUAAUUUUGUGUUAGCCUACUGAAAUCAAAAGGAACUAGAUAUUUUCUGGCAGUCCCAAAAGAAUCACAUGUUUAAUGCAGCGGAGAGACAGUGCCCUGAAGGAAAGGUGGCCUGCUGGAGAGCCACAAGAACGAACAUCCACUGCAAGUAAUAUGUGCACUAGGUCUGGAUGGGACCCAUCUCCACUAUGAAACUUGGGGCAAUUCACUUAAUCUGAGCCUUAGUUUCAUCAGCUGUGGACUAGCCAUAUCAAUGCUUCCUACUUAUUUUGUGAAUCUCCUUUCUUUUUUUUUUUUUUAAAUUUUAUUAUGUCGAUAUACAUUGUGGCUGAUUAUUGUAGCCCAUCACCAAAACCUCCCUCUCUCCUCCCUCCCCCCUCCCCCCAACAAUGCCUUUCUGUUUGCUUGUCGUAUCAACUUCAAGUAAUUGUGGUUGUUAUAUCUUCUCCCCCCCCCCCGGUUUUUUUUUUAUAAACAAUUGGGAUUAUAUCAAACUAAAAAGCUUCUGCACAGCAAAAGAAACAAUAAACAGAGU